CAUCACAAUGAAAUGCUUGUUCCCAUAUGAUCCCUGAAGUUAAAUAAAGUUGAGCUUGGUCUGUACCAAGAUGGGUGAACACUUGGGAAUACCAAGUGCUGUAUG
Acanthosepion pharaonis is the source of this 105-nucleotide non-coding RNA. The record is from the annotation of a GenBank genome assembly. Lineage: Eukaryota; Metazoa; Mollusca; Cephalopoda; Sepiida; Sepiidae.